AUGGCAGCAAAGCUUAAGCCCAUGGAUGCGGAUCUGGAGAUCAAACUAGCGCUCCUGGUCCACCUGGUCAUGGCUUCACUGCCACAGGAGUUUGCAACUUUUGUUGUAAACUAUAAUAUGUCACCUGGAACAUGGGACAUUGAAAAGACAAUAGCAAUGUGUGUCCAAGAAGAGGACAGACUCAAAGCCGCACAUGGUGGUUCAAUCAACUAUGUGAAGGAUUACAAGAAAAAGAACUACAAUCAAAACAACAAAAGUUCUCCUUCAAAGAAUGGAAAAGCCCCCUAUCAGCAUCAGCAACAGCCUUUCUCAGUGGACAAAGACACGUGUCUCCACUGCAAACAGAAAGGGCAUUACAAGAAAGACUGCGCUGCUUGGCUGAAGUCAGUCAUGGCAAAAAGAGGGAUUCCAUUCGACGCGAACUACGCUAAGAAGCGAAAGACGCAUUGA
Molecule: ribosomal RNA, 450 nt
Filed under: Triticum aestivum (bread wheat)
Lineage: Eukaryota; Viridiplantae; Streptophyta; Magnoliopsida; Poales; Poaceae
Description: partial small subunit ribosomal RNA
Source: RNAcentral